This 254-nucleotide ribosomal RNA is filed under the name uncultured bacterium. RNAcentral describes it as "partial 16S ribosomal RNA". It matches the Rfam family "Bacterial small subunit ribosomal RNA", at positions 524 to 776 of the family's 1533-position model. The record is from RNAcentral.
UACAGAGAAUGCAAGCGUUAUCCGGAAUCACUGGGCUUAAAGCGCGUGUAGGCGGGAGGGCACGUCCGUCGCUGAAAUCCCCCGGCUCAAACGGGGAACGGGCGCGGAUACGACCUUCCUGGAGGGGCGUAGGGGGACCUGGAACUUCCGGUGGAGCGGUGAAAUGCGUUGAGAUCGGAAGGAACGCCCGUGGCGAAAGCGAGGUCCUGGACGCCUACUGACGCUGAGACGCGAAAGCCAGGGGAGCGAACGGG